RNAcentral lists this ribosomal RNA (475 nucleotides) under uncultured bacterium. RNAcentral's name for it is "bacterial SSU rRNA". It matches the Rfam family "Bacterial small subunit ribosomal RNA", at positions 28 to 507 of the family's 1533-position model. The record is from RNAcentral.
GACGAACGCUGGCGGCGUGCCUAACACAUGCAAGUCGAGCGGGGAUGAAUGAAGUGCUUGCACGGAUUUCAUUCUAGCGGCGGACGGGUGAGUAACGCGUGAACAAUCUGUCCUAAACAGGGGGAUAACAACUGGAAACAGUUGCUAAUACCGCAUAAGACCACGCUUCCGCAUGGAAGAGGGGUAAAAGGAGCAAUCCGGUUUAGGGUGAGUUCGCGUCCCAUUAGCUAGUUGGUGAGGUAACGGCCCACCAAGGCAACGAUGGGUAGCCGACCUGAGAGGGUGAUCGGCCACACUGGGACUGAGACACGGCCCAGACUCCUACGGGAGGCAGCAGUGGGGAAUAUUGCGCAAUGGGGGAAACCCUGACGCAGCAACGCCGCGUGAAGGAAGAAGGUCUUCGGAUCGUAAACUCCUGUCCUCAGGGAAGAGUAGAAGACGGUACCUGAGGAGGAAGCCCCCGGCUAACUACGUG